AUUGAACGCUGGCGGCAGGCUUAACACAUGCAAGUCGAGCGGGGGAAAGUAGCUUGCUACUGGACCUAGCGGCGGACGGGUGAGUAAUGCUUAGGAAUCUGCCUAUUAGUGGGGGACAACAUUCCGAAAGGAAUGCUAAUACCGCAUACGUCCUACGGGAGAAAGCAGGGGACCUUCGGGCCUUGCGCUAAUAGAUGAGCCUAAGUCGGAUUAGCUAGUUGGUGGGGUAAAGGCCUACCAAGGCGACGAUCUGUAGCGGGUCUGAGAGGAUGAUCCGCCACACUGGGACUGAGACACGGCCCAG
This 304-nucleotide ribosomal RNA is filed under the name uncultured bacterium. Its description in RNAcentral is "bacterial SSU rRNA". It matches the Rfam family "Bacterial small subunit ribosomal RNA", at positions 30 to 334 of the family's 1533-position model. The record is from RNAcentral.